Molecule: non-coding RNA, 121 nt
Organism: Oryza punctata
Lineage: Eukaryota; Viridiplantae; Streptophyta; Magnoliopsida; Poales; Poaceae
Source: Rfam
AAAAGCCUUAUGAUGGGAAACUACCACGUUAGGUUUGGAGAGAGAUGGUGGGACUGUAGCCAGGGAUCAUCAACAAACCUUAGCUACUAGUUGGAUCCUUGGAGAAGCUUUCAAACGACGU